CCGCAGUCCUAUCAGGUUGCCCACCAAGACUGACCGCCACGGCCUCCGCAGGGGUCCGCGUAUAUUAGGGCCCCUUAGCUGCAGUACGUCAGGGUGCUCUCACAUUAAUAAGUACGUGCUUUUCAUUACUCACAGCGUAGGCCUCAAAUGCGGGAAAUGUGACAGACUUUCUAAAACCUGAAAUACUAAAAUUUUGCUGACUGCCCCAGUAGCGCUCUGAGAGGAAAUUCCCCUGUCCCUGGUGCUGGGCGUCCGCUCCGCGCAGGCGCAUGGGCCACCCCCAGCCCCCAGCUGGCUUUCAAAGGCCUUCCUGCCGCUGAUUUAUAGCAAAAGCACCUGGCUUCUGCGCAGACCCGGGACGGGUGCUUUCUCUUCUGCGUGCUACACCACAUCCGCACACGUGGACGCGGUGCUUUGCUCACGCUCGAAACGCAGUCCUGUCCUUAGAGGGCUUAGAGGUCCUCUCCGCGGCCACACGCAGCUCUCGCCAGGGAAGGAGCAGAGGUGCCAAGGCCGCAGCUGUCCUCCUCGGGAAGGCGAGAACACUAGCGCGUUAGCGCCAUCGCAGCUUCCACACGGGAUGCCGGGCGAGUUGGUGAGGUCGCCUUGCGCCCCGCAGCCUGCUGAAGGCGCGGUGUCCUCGGCUGGAGUGGCAGCUCCACCGGUUCUUCGGGCUGCGGCGCAGGAGGGCUGAGGCGUCAGAGAGUUUGAGGUUUAAACCCCAGAGGAGGUUUGCUGCGACAGCGUGAACUGGUCCUUCCUACAGCCGUCCGUGUCCACCUUCGGAUACAUUCGUGCGCAGCAUGAAACGAACACACAAACACCGCACGUCGCUGCUAAUCAUUAUUAAAGGAAAAUCGUGGGAGCUCCGGGAGAAUAAAAAUACCAAAUUUUUCUUCUCCUUUUAAUUCUAGGGAGCAGCAUUUGUGAACACUGCCCAUUAUAAAUAAUAAAAGCAGCCGGA
RNAcentral lists this long non-coding RNA (964 nucleotides) under Chinchilla lanigera (long-tailed chinchilla). RNAcentral's name for it is "lncRNA (ENSCLAG00000022518.1)". Lineage: Eukaryota; Metazoa; Chordata; Mammalia; Rodentia; Chinchillidae. The record is from RNAcentral.